RNAcentral lists this ribosomal RNA (1989 nucleotides) under feces metagenome. Its description in RNAcentral is "bacterial LSU rRNA". It matches the Rfam family "Bacterial large subunit ribosomal RNA", at positions 1 to 1990 of the family's 2925-position model. The record is from RNAcentral.
UAAAGAUACUAAGGGCAUACGGUGGAUGCCUUGGCGAUACUAGCCGAUGAAGGACGCGGUAAGCUGCGAUAAGCUACGGUGAGAUGCAAGCAAUCUUUGACCCGUAGAUUUCCGAAUGGGGAAACCCGGCAGUGGUGAUGCACUGUCAUCCGUAUCUUAGAAUACGAGAGGGGCACCAGGGGAACUGAAACAUCUAAGUACCCUGAGGAAAAGUAAUCAAACGAGAUUUCCUAAGUAGCGGCGAGCGAACGGGAAAGAGCCCAAACCGAAGAGGUUCGCCUCUUCGGGGUUGUGGACUGACAACAAGCAAAAAUGAGUUAGAUGAAUGACUUGGGAAAGUCAACCGAAGAAGGUGAGAGUCCUGUAAUUUAAAGCUUGCAUUUGCAGGUCAGUAUCCAGAGUACCACGAGACACGUGAAACCUUGUGGGAAGCAGGGGGGACCACCCUCCAAGGCAAAAUACUAGUAUCGACCGAUAGCGCAUAGUACCGUGAGGGAAAGGUGAAAAGCACCCCGGGAGGGGAGUGAAAGAGAACCUGAAACCGUAUGUCUACAAACAGUCGAAGACCUAUUAAAAAGGUCGACGGCGUGCCUAUUGAAGAAUGAACCGGCGAGUUACUAUUGCUAGCGAGGUUAAGUGGAAAACAUGGAGCCGAAGCGAAAGCGAGUCUGAAUAGGGCGUUGAGUUAGUAGUAGUAGACCCGAAACCGUAGUGAUCUAUCCAUGGCCAGGUUGAAGCACAGGUAAAAUUGUGUGGAGGACCGAACCCGUGAGCGUUGAAAAGCUUUGGGAUGAGUUGUGGAUAGGGGUGAAAUGCCAAUCGAACACGGAGAUAGCUGGUUCUCCCCGAAAUAGCUUUAGGGCUAGCCUCAUGGAGAGAGUAUAGGCGGUAGAGCACUGAUCGGGCUAGGGGCCAUACCGGUUACCGAACCUAGUCAAACUACGAAUGGCUAUACUUAUACAUGGGAGUCAGACUACGAGUGAUAAGACCCGUUGUCAAAAGGGAAACAGCCCAGAACGCCGACUAAGGUCCCCAAUGCUGUACUAAGUGGUAAAGGAUGUGGGAUUUCUAAAACAACCAGGAUGUUGGCUUAGAAGCAGCCACCAUUUAAAGAGUGCGUAAUAGCUCACUGGUCGAGAGAUCCUGCGCCGAAAAUGACCGGGGCUAAAGUACAGAACCGAAGUCGCGUCAUUAGCAGCAAUGCUAAUGGGUAGGGGAGCGUUCUUACUGGGGUGAAGCAGUACUGUAAGGAGCUGUGGACUGGUAAGAAGUGAGAAUGCCGGUAUGAGUAGCGAAAAGAGAGGUGAGAAUCCUCUCCACCGAAAGCCUAAGGGUUCCUGGGCAACGCUCGUCGUCCCAGGGUAAGUCGGGACCUAAGCCGAGGCGGAAAAGCGUAGGCGAUGGACAACAGGUUGAAAUUCCUGUACUAGUGUAUGAUGUUUGAUCGAUGGAGUGACACAAGAAGGUAGGUCAGCAGGGUGUUGGAUAUCCCUGUUUAAGCAUGUAGGUUGGUUUGUAGGCAAAUCCGCAAACCUUGAAGCUGAGAUGUGAUGACGAGCUCAUUAGAGCGAAGUGAUUGAUCCUAAAUUGUCAAGAAAAGCUUCUAGAAAGUGAUACACUACCCGUACCGUAAACCGACACAGGUAGGCGGGAAGAGAAUUCUAAGGUGCGCGGGAGAACCCUCGUUAAGGAACUCGGCAAAUUACCUCCGUAACUUCGGGAAAAGGAGGACCCCAUUAGUGUGAAAGCUCUUGCAGCUGGAGCAUGAAGGGGUGGCACAAGAGAGGCGCAAGCGACUGUUUACCACAAACACAGGUGCCUGCUAAAGCGAAAGCUGAUGUAUAGGUGCUGACACCUGCCCGGUGCUGGAAGGUUAAGAGGAGGGGUUAGGCGUAAGCCGAAGCUCUGAAUUGAAGCCCCAGUAAACGGCGGCCGUAACUAUAACGGUCCUAAGGUAGCGAAAUUCCUUGUCGGGUAAGUUCCGACCCG